RNAcentral lists this ribosomal RNA (505 nucleotides) under uncultured bacterium. RNAcentral's name for it is "partial 16S ribosomal RNA". It matches the Rfam family "Bacterial small subunit ribosomal RNA", at positions 28 to 507 of the family's 1533-position model. The record is from RNAcentral.
GACGAACGCUGGCGGCGUGCCUAAUACAUGCAAGUAGAACGCACAGUUUAUACCGUAGCUUGCUACACCAUAGACUGUGAGUUGCGAACGGGUGAGUAACGCGUAGGUAACCUGCCUGGUAGCGGGGGAUAACUAUUGGAAACGAUAGCUAAUACCGCAUAAUAUUAAUUAUUGCAUGAUAAUUGAUUGAAAGAUGCAACUGCAUCACUACCAGAUGGACCUGCGUUGUAUUAGCUAGUAGGUGAGGUAACGGCUCACCUAGGCGACGAUACAUAGCCGACCUGAGAGGGUGAUCGGCCACACUGGGACUGAGACACGGCCCAGACUCCUACGGGAGGCAGCAGUAGGGAAUCUUCGGCAAUGGACGAAAGUCUGACCGAGCAACGCCGCGUGAGUGCAGAAGGUUUUCGGAUCGUAAAGCUCUGUUGUAAGAGAAGAACGGGUGUGAGAGUGGAAAGUUCACACUGUGACGGUAUCUUACCAGAAAGGGACGGCUAACUACGUG